This 224-nucleotide long non-coding RNA is filed under the name Elaeis guineensis (African oil palm). Its description in RNAcentral is "long non-coding RNA (EGUI_LNC057107)". The record is from RNAcentral. Lineage: Eukaryota; Viridiplantae; Streptophyta; Magnoliopsida; Arecales; Arecaceae.
GUACCAUACAGCUCCAGCACGAACAUGGGAUUGGGACAGCCCCUGGGUCAUGUAGGCAUCCUGGGUGGACUAGAGGAGGGGGUUAGCAUCCCACCCCUCCUUCCUUGUUGCUUCACGUUCGUGGAAUUGGCACCGAACAGAGUUUUGUGCACCAUAUAAGUGAGAUAUGUGCUUUAUUGGGCCCAAAUAACCAUUUUACUCUGGGUCCACCUUAAAUCUGGUCA